AAUGACCUACGGGGGGCAGCAGUAGGGAAUUUUCGUCAAUGGGCGCAAGGCUGAACGAGCGAUGCCGCGUGAGUGAAGAAGGCCUUCGGGUCGUAAAGCUCUGUUGCGGGGGAAAAAAGGCAGCAUCAGGAAAUGGGUGCUGACUGAUGGUGCCCCGCCAGAAAGUCACGGCUAACUACGUGCCAGCAGCCGCGGUAAUACGUAGGUGUCGAGCGUUAUCCGGCAUGAUUGGGCGUAAAGGGUG
Molecule: ribosomal RNA, 244 nt
Filed under: uncultured bacterium
Lineage: Bacteria
Description: partial 16S ribosomal RNA
Rfam family: Bacterial small subunit ribosomal RNA
Source: RNAcentral